GUAGGGAAUAUUGGGCAAUGGAUGCAAGUCUGACCCAGCCAUGCCGCGUGGAGGAAGAAGGUCCUCUGGAUUGUAAACUCCUUUUUUGGGGGAAGAAUAGUUCUCUUGCGAGGGAAUGUGACGGUACCCUAAGAAUAAGCCACGGCUAACUACGUGCCAGCAGCCGCGGUAAUACGUAGGUGGCAAGCGUUGUCCGGAUUUAUUGGGUUUAAAGGGUGCGUAGGUGGUUUGAUAAGUCAGUGGUGAAAGCUGGUUGCUCAACAAUCAAGUUGCCAUUGAUACUGUCGGACUUGAGAGAAGUGGAGGUUCAUGGAAUGGAUGGUGUAGCGGUGAAAUGCAUAGAUAUCAUCCAGAACGUCGAUUGCGAAGGCAGUGGGCUGUACUUUAUCUGACACUGAGGCACGAAAGUGUGGGGAUCAAACAGGAUUAGAUACCCUUGUAGUCC
This 445-nucleotide ribosomal RNA is filed under the name uncultured bacterium. RNAcentral describes it as "partial 16S ribosomal RNA". It matches the Rfam family "Bacterial small subunit ribosomal RNA", at positions 354 to 796 of the family's 1533-position model. The record is from RNAcentral.